RNAcentral lists this ribosomal RNA (253 nucleotides) under uncultured archaeon. RNAcentral's name for it is "partial 16S ribosomal RNA". It matches the Rfam family "Archaeal small subunit ribosomal RNA", at positions 474 to 726 of the family's 1478-position model. The record is from RNAcentral.
UCCCGACGCUCCGAGUCGCAGCCACAAUUAUUGGGUCUAAAACAUUCGUAGCUUGUUUUGUAAGUUCUUUGUGAAAUCUUAACUCUUAAAGUUAAGGCGUGCAAAGAAUACUGUAAAACUUGGGACUGGAAGAAGCAAGAAGUACGACAGAGGUAGUGGUAAAAUAUGUUAAUCUCUGUCGGACUAACAACAGCGAAGGCAUCUUGCUAGUACAGAUCUGACAGUGAGGAAUGAAGGCUAGGGCCGCGAAGCG